CAGCCGCCACGGUAAUACGAAGGGUGCAAGCGUUACUCGGAAUUACUGGGCGUAAAGCGUGUGUAGGUGGUUGUUUAAGUCUGUCGUGAAAGCCUUGGGCUCAACCUGGGAAUUGCGAUGGAUACUGGGCGACUAGAGUGCGGUAGAGGAUAGUGGAAUUUCCGGUGUAGCAGUGAAAUGCGUAGAGAUCGGAAGGAACAUCUGUGGCGAAGGCGACUACCUGGGCCAACACUGACACUGAGACACGAAAGCGUGGGGAGCAAACAGGAUUAGAUACCCCUGUAGUCCCUGUCUCUUAUAC
This 301-nucleotide ribosomal RNA is filed under the name uncultured bacterium. Its description in RNAcentral is "partial 16S ribosomal RNA". It matches the Rfam family "Bacterial small subunit ribosomal RNA", at positions 509 to 807 of the family's 1533-position model. The record is from RNAcentral.